GACGAACGCUGGCGGCGUGCUUAACACAUGCAAGUCGAACGGAAAGGCCCUGCUUUUGUGGGGUGCUCGAGUGGCGAACGGGUGAGUAACACGUGAGUAACCUGCCCUUGACUUUGGGAUAACUUCAGGAAACUGGGGCUAAUACCGGAUAGGAGCUCCUGCUGCAUGGUGGGGGUUGGAAAGUUUCGGCGGUUGGGGAUGGACUCGCGGCUUAUCAGCUUGUUGGUGGGGUAGUGGCUUACCAAGGCUUUGACGGGUAGCCGGCCUGAGAGGGUGACCGGGCACAAUGGGACUAAGGAACGGGCCAGAAUCCUACGGGAGGCAGCAGUGGGGAAUAUUGCACAAUGGGCGGAAGCCUGAUGCAGCAACGCCGCGUGCGGGAUGACGGCCUUCGGGUUGUAAACCGCUUUCGCCUGUGACGAAGCGUGAGUGACGGUAAUGGGUAAAGAAGCACCGGCUAACUACGUG
RNAcentral lists this ribosomal RNA (468 nucleotides) under uncultured bacterium. Its description in RNAcentral is "partial 16S ribosomal RNA". It matches the Rfam family "Bacterial small subunit ribosomal RNA", at positions 28 to 507 of the family's 1533-position model. The record is from RNAcentral.